This 87-nucleotide ribosomal RNA is filed under the name Enterocytozoon bieneusi. RNAcentral's name for it is "partial small subunit ribosomal RNA". It matches the Rfam family "Microsporidia small subunit ribosomal RNA", at positions 1224 to 1310 of the family's 1311-position model. Lineage: Eukaryota; Fungi; Microsporidia; Enterocytozoonidae. The record is from RNAcentral.
UGAAGAGCUUCGGCUCUGAAUAUCUAUGGCUAGAUAAAGUACAAGUCGUAACAAGGUUUCAGUUGGAGAACCAGCUGAAGGAUCAUU